GGAGGAGCCGGCUGGUUACGGAAACGCCGCUGGAAACGGCGUACACCCUCGGGUGUCGUGGGUUCGAAUCCCACCUCCUCCG
This 82-nucleotide transfer RNA is filed under the name Actinoplanes xinjiangensis. Its description in RNAcentral is "tRNA-Ser". It matches the Rfam family "tRNA". From Rfam's summary of the family: Transfer RNA (tRNA) molecules are approximately 80 nucleotides in length. Their secondary structure includes four short double-helical elements and three loops (D, anti-codon, and T loops). The record is from RNAcentral. Lineage: Bacteria; Bacillati; Actinomycetota; Actinomycetes; Micromonosporales; Micromonosporaceae.